RNAcentral lists this ribosomal RNA (493 nucleotides) under Halobacillus trueperi. Its description in RNAcentral is "bacterial SSU rRNA". It matches the Rfam family "Bacterial small subunit ribosomal RNA", at positions 14 to 484 of the family's 1533-position model. The record is from RNAcentral. Lineage: Bacteria; Bacillati; Bacillota; Bacilli; Caryophanales; Bacillaceae.
UGAUCCUGGCUCAGGACGAACGCUGGCGGGCGUGCCUAAUACAUGCAAGUCGAGCGCGGGAAGCGAGUGGAUCCCUUCGGGGUGAAGCUCGUGGAACGAGCGGCGGACGGGUGAGUAACACGUGGGCAACCUGCCUGUAAGAUCGGAAUAACCCCGGGAAACCGGGGCUAAUGCCGGGUAAUACUUUCUUUCGCAUGAAGGAAAGUUGAAAGAUGGCUUCUUGCUAUCACUUACAGAUGGGCCCGCGGCGCAUUAGCUAGUUGGUGAGGUAACGGCUCACCAAGGCGACGAUGCGUAGCCGACCUGAGAGGGUGAUCGGCCACACUGGGACUGAGACACGGCCCAGACUCCUACGGGAGGCAGCAGUAGGGAAUCUUCCGCAAUGGACGAAAGUCUGACGGAGCAACGCCGCGUGAACGAUGAAGGUCUUCGGAUCGUAAAGUCUGUUGUUAGGGAAGGACGAAGUACCGUGCGAAUAGAGCGGUACUUGACG